GCUUUUGCGAUCCGUGGGAGGAAGGAAGCGUCGGUACCGUCGGGAUUGGCUGCUUCUGAACCAUUGUUAUCCAAUCUUUGAAUCCAUAGUUAUUUCUCCACGACGUUAUUUUUAAAAAGAAGGCUUUUAAAAGUUGUUUUGCCUGCAUUUCAACUCGAUUUGCAGGUGUGUGGGAUGAGUAUGCUUGUUGGGGGGUCUGUCGGUGGUGGGGCUUUGGGGCUGCAUGUGCAUGCGUGCAUGUGGCUGCAGCCCCAAGCUCUGCACACCAUGGUGUGUUAUUACC
Molecule: unclassified non-coding RNA, 283 nt
Filed under: uncultured Eimeria
Lineage: Eukaryota; Apicomplexa; Conoidasida; Eucoccidiorida; Eimeriidae
Description: sequence contains ITS1
Source: RNAcentral